ACCGGCAGCCAUAUCACUCUGCAACUCAGAACUGGCAACCCACUGAAGAUAAACAGGUGUGAGCCUGGUCAGUACCUAGAUGGGAGACCUCCUGGGGAGAAACUAAGGUUGCUGCUGGAA
This 120-nucleotide ribosomal RNA is filed under the name Lepisosteus oculatus (spotted gar). Lineage: Eukaryota; Metazoa; Chordata; Actinopteri; Semionotiformes; Lepisosteidae. The record is from RNAcentral.